Molecule: ribosomal RNA, 253 nt
Filed under: uncultured bacterium
Lineage: Bacteria
Description: partial 16S ribosomal RNA
Rfam family: Bacterial small subunit ribosomal RNA
Source: RNAcentral
UACGUAGGGGGCAAGCGUUGUCCGGAUUUAUUGGGCGUAAAGAGCGUGUAGGCGGUUUGGUAGGUCCGCUGUGAAAACUCGAGGCUCAACCUCGAGACGCCGGUGGAAACCAUCAGACUAGAGUCCGGAAGAGGAGAGUGGAAUUCCUGGUGUAGCGGUGGAAUGCGCAGAUAUCAGGAGGAACACCGGUGGCGAAGGCGGGUCUCUGGGCAAUAACUGACGCUGAGGAGCGAAAGCGUGGGGAGCGAACAGG